GGACCCGUAGCCUAGCCAGGAUAUGGCGGCAGCCUCCUAAGCUGCAGGUCCCGGGUUCGAAUCCCGGCGGGUCCG
This 75-nucleotide transfer RNA is filed under the name Thermoplasmatales archaeon. RNAcentral describes it as "tRNA-Arg". It matches the Rfam family "tRNA". From Rfam's summary of the family: Transfer RNA (tRNA) molecules are approximately 80 nucleotides in length. Their secondary structure includes four short double-helical elements and three loops (D, anti-codon, and T loops). The record is from RNAcentral. Lineage: Archaea; Methanobacteriati; Thermoplasmatota; Thermoplasmata; Thermoplasmatales.